Molecule: RNase P RNA, 329 nt
Filed under: uncultured Ruminococcus sp.
Lineage: Bacteria; Bacillati; Bacillota; Clostridia; Eubacteriales; Oscillospiraceae
Description: Bacterial RNase P class A
Rfam family: Bacterial RNase P class A
About the family: Ribonuclease P (RNase P) is a ubiquitous endoribonuclease, found in archaea, bacteria and eukarya as well as chloroplasts and mitochondria. Its best characterised activity is the generation of mature 5'-ends of tRNAs by cleaving the 5'-leader elements of precursor-tRNAs.
Source: RNAcentral
AGCUGCGGGCAAAGCACCGAAAGGUCUUGUCCGAGGAAAGUCCGAGCUCCACAGAGCAAAAAUAACGGCUAACGGCCGCCGAGGGCGACCUCAGGGAUAGUGCAACAGAAAAUUACCGCCGAUUUUUCGGUAAGGAUGGAAAGGCGAGGUAAGAGCUCACCGGGGUUAAGGAGACUUAACCGCCGUGUAAACCCUAUUUGGAGCAACACCGUGGUAGGACAUUUAACGCUUGCUCGGCGUGUCCUUAGGAGGUGGCACUGAGCAGAUAUGGCAACAUUCUGCCAAGAUAGAUGGCUGUUCACGACAGAACUCGGCUUACAGAUUUGGUC